GAUGAACGCUGGCGGCGUGCUUAACACAUGCAAGUCGAACGAUGAAGCCCAGCUUGCUGGGUGGAUUAGUGGCGAACGGGUGAGUAACACGUGAGUAACCUGCCCUUAACUCUGGGAUAAGCCUGGGAAACUGGGUCUAAUACCGGAUAGGAGCGUCCACCGCAUGGUGGGUGUUGGAAAGAUUUAUCGGUUUUGGAUGGACUCGCGGCCUAUCAGCUUGUUGGUGAGGUAAUGGCUCACCAAGGCGACGACGGGUAGCCGGCCUGAGAGGGUGACCGGCCACACUGGGACUGAGACACGGCCCAGACUCCUACGGGAGGCAGCAGUGGGGAAUAUUGCACAAUGGGCGCAAGCCUGAUGCAGCGACGCCGCGUGAGGGAUGACGGCCUUCGUGUUGUAAACCUCUUUCAGUAGGGAAGAAGCGAAAGUGACGGUACCUGCAGAAGAAGCACCGGCUAACUACGUG
This 466-nucleotide ribosomal RNA is filed under the name uncultured bacterium. Its description in RNAcentral is "partial 16S ribosomal RNA". It matches the Rfam family "Bacterial small subunit ribosomal RNA", at positions 28 to 507 of the family's 1533-position model. The record is from RNAcentral.